RNAcentral lists this unclassified non-coding RNA (253 nucleotides) under uncultured Oligoflexaceae bacterium. RNAcentral describes it as "contains 16S-23S intergenic spacer region". It matches the Rfam family "Bacterial small subunit ribosomal RNA", at positions 524 to 776 of the family's 1533-position model. The record is from RNAcentral. Lineage: Bacteria; Pseudomonadati; Bdellovibrionota; Oligoflexia; Oligoflexales; Oligoflexaceae.
UACGGAGGGUGCAAGCGUUGUUCGGAAUUACUGGGCGUAAAGCGCACGUAGGCGGACUUGUGUGUCGAUUGUGAAAGCCCUGGGCUUAACCUGGGAAUUGCAGUCGAAACUGCAGGUCUUGAAUACUUGAGAGGGUGGGAGAAUUCCUGGUGGAGAAGUGAAAUUCGUAGAUAUUAGGAGGAAUACCGGAGGCGAAGGCGCCUACCUGGCAAGCUAUUGACGCUGAGGUGCGAAAGCGUGGGGAGCAAACGGG